CAGUCGCCGCGGUAACACAGAGGGUGCAAGCGUUAAUCGGAAUUACUGGGCGUAAAGCGCGCGUAGGUGGUUUGUUAAGUUGGAUGUGAAAUCCCCGGGCUCAACCUGGGAACUGCAUCCAAAACUGGCAAGCUAGAGUAUGGUAGAGGGUGGUGGAAUUUCCUGUGUAGCGGUGAAAUGCGUAGAUAUAGGAAGGAACACCAGUGGCGAAGGCGACCACCUGGACUGAUACUGACACUGAGGUGCGAAAGCGUGGGGAGCAAACAGGAUUAGAGACCCGCGUAGUCCCUGUCUCUUAUAC
This 301-nucleotide ribosomal RNA is filed under the name uncultured bacterium. RNAcentral's name for it is "partial 16S ribosomal RNA". It matches the Rfam family "Bacterial small subunit ribosomal RNA", at positions 509 to 807 of the family's 1533-position model. The record is from RNAcentral.